UGCUUGAGAGUGGCGAACGGGUGAGUAAUAUAUCGGAACGUGCCCAGUCGUGGGGGAUAACGUAGAGAAAUUUACGCUAAUACCGCAUACGAUCUAAGGAUGAAAGCGGGGGAUUUCGCAAGAAGCCUCGCGCGAUUGGAGCGGCUGAUAUCAGAUUAGGUUGUUGGUGAGGUAAAAGCUCACCAAGCCGACGAUCUGUAGCUGGUUUGAGAGAACGACCAGCCACACUGGGACUGAGACACGGCCCAGACUCCUACGGGAGGCAGCAGUGGGGAAUUUUGGACAAUGGGCGAAAGCCUGAUCCAGCAAUGCCGCGUGCAGGAAGAAGGCCUUCGGGUUGUAAACUGCUUUUGUACGGAACGAAACGGUCCGCUCUAAUACAGUGGGCUAAUGACGGUACCGUAAGAAUAAGCACCGGCUAACUACGUGCCAGCAGCCGCGGUAAUACGUAGGGUGCGAGCGUUAAUCGGAAUUACUGGGCGUAAAGCGUGCGCAGGCGGUUAUAUAAGACAGUUGUGAAAUCCCCGGGCUCAACCUGGGAAUUGCAUCUGUGACUGUAUAGCUAGAGUACGGUAGAGGGGGAUGGAAUUCCGCGUGUAGCAGUGAAAUGCGUAGAUAUGCGGAGGAACACCGAUGGCGAAGGCAAUCCCCUGGACCUGUACUGACGCUCAUGCACGA
This 678-nucleotide ribosomal RNA is filed under the name uncultured bacterium. RNAcentral's name for it is "bacterial SSU rRNA". It matches the Rfam family "Bacterial small subunit ribosomal RNA", at positions 86 to 756 of the family's 1533-position model. The record is from RNAcentral.